RNAcentral lists this ribosomal RNA (439 nucleotides) under uncultured bacterium. Its description in RNAcentral is "partial 16S ribosomal RNA". It matches the Rfam family "Bacterial small subunit ribosomal RNA", at positions 339 to 795 of the family's 1533-position model. The record is from RNAcentral.
CUACGGGCGGCUCCAGUGGGGAAUAUUGCACAAUGGAGGAAACUCUGAUGCAGCAACGCCGCGUGGAGGAUGGCACUUUUCGGAGCGUAAACUCCUUUUAUAUAGGAAGAAGAUGACGGUACUAUAUGAAUAAGCGCCGGCUAACUCCGUGCCAGCAGCCGCGGUAAUACGGAGGGCGCAAGCGUUACUCGGAAUCACUGGGCGUAAAGAGCGUGUAGGCGGAUUAAAAAGUCAGAAGUGAAAUCCUAUAGCUUAACUAUAGGACUGCUUCUGAAACUCUUAAUCUAGAAUAUGGGAGAGGUAGAUGGAAUUUCUGGUGUAGGGGUAAAAUCCGUAGAGAUCAGAAGGAAUACCGAUUGCGAAGGCGAUCUACUAGAACAUUAUUGACGCUGAGACGCGAAAGCGUGGGGAGCAAACAGGAUUAGAUACCCGCGUAGUC